GUCAGGAAGAGGAAGAAAAUGAGCAUCUAGGAGCAUUGGGCAUGGGAACAUGGAGGAAGGGCUAAACUAAUGUGUCCCACUACAACUAGGGUCCUACAUUUGUUUCUGAAUUUUCCCGAUGCCUCCCAUGCCUAUUGUUCUUAGGUGCUCCUUCCUCUUCCUUAUGAUC
Triticum urartu is the source of this 169-nucleotide non-coding RNA. Lineage: Eukaryota; Viridiplantae; Streptophyta; Magnoliopsida; Poales; Poaceae. The record is from Rfam.